This 483-nucleotide ribosomal RNA is filed under the name uncultured bacterium. RNAcentral describes it as "partial 16S ribosomal RNA". It matches the Rfam family "Bacterial small subunit ribosomal RNA", at positions 28 to 523 of the family's 1533-position model. The record is from RNAcentral.
GACGAACGCUGGCGGCGUGCUUAACACAUGCAAGUCGAACGAUGAUGCCCAGCUUGCUGGGUGGAUUAGUGGCGAACGGGUGAGUAACACGUGAGUAACCUGCCCCUGACUCUGGGAUAAGCGUUGGAAACGACGUCUCAUACUGGAUAUGAUCGCCGGCCGCAUGGUCUGGUGGUGGAAAGAUUUUUUGGUUGGGGAUGGACUCGCAGCCUAUCAGCUUGUUGGUGAGGUAAUGGCUCCCCAAGGCGACGACGGGUAGCCGGCCUGAGAGGGUGACCGGCCACACUGGGACUGAGACACGGCCCAGACUCCUACGGGAGGCAGCAGUGGGGAAUAUUGCACAAUGGGCGAAAGCCUGAUGCAGCAACGCCGCGUGAGGGAUGACGGCCUUCGGGUUGUAAACCUCUUUUAGUAGGGAAGAAGCGAAAGUGACGGUACCUGCAGAAAAAGCACCGGCUAACUACGUGCCAGCCGCCGCGGUAA